RNAcentral lists this ribosomal RNA (253 nucleotides) under uncultured bacterium. RNAcentral describes it as "partial 16S ribosomal RNA". It matches the Rfam family "Bacterial small subunit ribosomal RNA", at positions 524 to 776 of the family's 1533-position model. The record is from RNAcentral.
GACGUAGGGCGCGAGCGUUGUCCGGAUUUAUUGGGCGUAGAGAGCUCGUAGGCGGCUUGUCGCGUCGUCCGUGAAAACUUGGGGCUCAACCCCAAGCUUGCGGUCGAUACGGGCAGGCUAGAGUUCGGUAGGGGAGACUGGAAUUCCUGGUGUAGCGGUGAAAUGCGCAGAUAUCAGGAGGAACACCGGUGGCGAAGGCGGGUCUCUGGGCCGAUACUGACGCUGAGGAGCGAAAGCGUGGGGAGCGAACAGG